RNAcentral lists this long non-coding RNA (1964 nucleotides) under Mus musculus (house mouse). Its description in RNAcentral is "RIKEN cDNA A930003O13 gene (A930003O13Rik)". The record is from RNAcentral. Lineage: Eukaryota; Metazoa; Chordata; Mammalia; Rodentia; Muridae.
GCCCAACAACUGCUCAGCCUCCAAGGCGUCCCUAUGGGUGGCGUCCCUAGCAUCCAAGAGGUUCGGAAACGCCUGGGGACCUGGCGCCAGUGCCAAGGUUGAGGAACCUGGGGGUUCCUCCUUCCACGCCUUCAACCUGAGAGAGGAUUAAGUUGUCCCGGACUGGCAGAGCUCAGGAAGCGGUCCCUCCCACUCCAGCCUCUCUGGAGCUCGGACACCCAGGGGUCCCCUGCCUCCGUGGAGGUGAGCGCGCACUCACCGGAGGUGAGCUGCAUCCAAGCACAGAUCUUGUACACGGUGGCUGUGUUGCAGAAGAAGAAGAGGGUAAAGCAAACGAUGCAGGCGAUGAUGAGCAUCAUGGAGAGGCCGAUGAAGAAGGAGGCGGCUUUGAAGGCGCCCGAGGGCAGCGUGGAGAAGUCCGUGAAGCUACCCCUGCAGGUCAGCUCCCGGGAGAAGCCGUUGCCGAUGCAGUAGUGGAAGAGCCCGAAAUAGCCGGCUUGCGGGGUGUCCACGCCGUCGCCGAUCCAGUAGGGCUGGAUGAAGCACACCACAUUGACGAUGGCAAAGCAGAUGGUGAAGAUGGCCCACAGCACGCCGAUGGCCCGCGAGUUCCGCACAUAGUUGGUGUGGUACAGCUUGGCAGCCUCCUGAGCCGGGAGCAUCGCGGCGGCGGCGGCGGCGGCUCCGGGCAUUCUCCCCCUCCUCCUCCUCCUCCCGGUCCUCCGCCUCCCCCCGCCUCUCGGCGCGCAGGAGACACACUCGCCGAGCGAGCGGCGUGCGUUGCAAUUCCCCUGCCUCCGCCUCAGCCCAGCAGCACCAGUUCUAGAGUCUGCACCCUCGCUCCCGGAAGGAGGGAGGGGGAGCGUGGAGCACCCCUCCGGCUCGCCAGGCACAGCCUCCCGCCCCCCUCUUCCCUCCCUCCUGGACCCGGCUCCAGCCCUGCUUUGCACCCUCCACUCCUCUGCUCGUUGCUGCAGCUGCUGCAGCUGAAGCCUGCGAGCCCUCACGCCCCCUUACUCUUCAUCUCGCCUUUGACCCUCUUUCCUGUAGGCUCUGCUGGUGCCCCAGGUCACAGAGGAUCGCGGCUACCAGGAGAUGCUUCUUAAGUGCCAGGAGCAAGAGAAGCAGACGUGGAGUUAUAAGAGCGCGCCCAGAGGAAUCCUAGAGGCACUCCCUGGAUCCUGGAGGAUGUGCUGCUGGCCAAGAGGCUGAUCCUGAGCUUUUCAUCACCGCACAGGAACGUGCUUUGACCUCUGCAUCUCUGCAGGGAAAAAAAGAGGCAGCCUUAUGGCAGGUGUAGGAUAUCUGAUAUGCAACCUGUGAAAGAGUCAUUCAGUCCCCAUGGGGUCACAACCCACCGCUUGGGAACCACUGAUAUAGAUGGACUUCAAGAGCUGGGACAGCGAAACAUAUGUGAGACUCUGAAAUCAUCCUCUGUCACCAGGAUAGCUGCUGUUUGGGGGAGGAGGAAAUAACAAAACUAGCCUGAUUCAUGCUACAAAGCUGCUAUUGAUAGAAAGGCAGAUGUGAUCUCCACCACUCAUCAAGGACAAUAGAAAUGCCACAAUGGGCAUGAGAAAGCCCCUAGGACUACAAGCCUACACAAAGAACCGUAGACAACUAAAGAAUGGUGAGAGUGGAGGAAAGAGUCUUCCCCAGGGAAGAGCAUGCCAGUGGGAUACCCAAUACAAAGUGGUCAUGCACUGAAAACAUAUAUACAAGUAGCGUUGUACUUGUAGCAUACAUGAACACAUGUGUGUGUGUGUGUGUGUGUGUGUGUGUGUGUGUGUGUGUGUGUAUGAGAAUAUAUACACAUGAAUAUAUAUAUACACACAUACACAAAAAGUGUAAUGAAAAAUGGGUCGUGAACUUGAAAGAAAGUGAGGCAAGGUAUAUGGGAAAAAUGUAGUCAUAUUACAAUUUCAAAAUAAAGAAUUUGCAGUGUUUUUAAAAAAAAAAAAAAA